GGCGCCAUAGCUCAGUGGUAGAACAUCUGCUUUGCAUGCAGAAGGUCCCAGGUUCAAACCCCAAUGGUAUCU
Podarcis lilfordi (Lilford's wall lizard) is the source of this 72-nucleotide non-coding RNA. The record is from the annotation of a GenBank genome assembly. Lineage: Eukaryota; Metazoa; Chordata; Lepidosauria; Squamata; Lacertidae.